This 348-nucleotide unclassified non-coding RNA is filed under the name soil metagenome. Its description in RNAcentral is "partial contains 5.8S ribosomal RNA, internal transcribed spacer 2, and large subunit ribosomal RNA". The stretch from base 1 to 120 matches the Rfam family "5.8S ribosomal RNA", at positions 35 to 154 of the family's 154-position model. The record is from RNAcentral.
GAUGAAGAACGUAGCGAAAUGCGAUAAGUAAUGUGAAUUGCAGAAUUUAGUGAAUCAUCGAAUCUUUGAACGCACAUUGCGCCCGCCAGUAUUCUGGCGGGCAUGCCUGUCUGAGCGUCAUUUCAACCCUCAUGCCCCUAGGGCGUGGUGUUGGGGAUCGGCCAAAGCCCGCGAGGGACGGCCGGCCCCUAAAUCUAGUGGCGGACCCGUCGUGGCCUCCUCUGCGAAGUAGUGAUAUUCCGCAUCGGAGAGCGACGAGCCCCUGCCGUUAAACCCCCAACUUUCCAAGGUUGACCUCAGAUCAGGUAGGAAUACCCGCUGAACUUAAGCAUAUCAAUAAGCGGAGGA